This is a long non-coding RNA of Polyodon spathula (Mississippi paddlefish), 245 nucleotides long. RefSeq lists it as uncharacterized. Lineage: Eukaryota; Metazoa; Chordata; Actinopteri; Acipenseriformes; Polyodontidae. The transcript is spliced from 4 exons. The record is from RefSeq and is a predicted model, not a curated record.
AGUUGACAGCCUGGAUACAGUUUCCUGUGUUACUUGUCCUAGUAACAGUGUCGUAAACCUUGACAGUGCAACGUGUGUGCAGUGUCAGGAGACCUUCUACGCUGCAACAGGAACUUGUCAUUGUCCAGUGGCACAGCUGAAGGGAGGGUUGUGCUUCAAAGAGUCCAGUAUCACUGCAGUGGGCACUGUACCAAGCUCCUUUUGGUUUGAAACAUACCUUGAUGCAAGUUUCCUGGCAUGUACAG